UGGUAGAGGGGAGGUAGAAUUUUAUGGGUAGCGGUGAAAUGCGUAGAUAUCUAGAGGAAUACCUGUAGGAAAAGCGACCUCCCUGGACAAUAACUGACGCUGAGGUGCGAAAGCGUGGGAGAGCAAACAGGAUUAAGAUACCCUGGUAGUCCAUGCUGUAAACGAUGUCGACUUGGAGGUUGUUUCCUUGAGAAGUGGCUUCCGAAGCUAACGCAUUUAAGUCGACCGCCUGGGGAGUACGGCCGCAAGGCUAAAACUCAAGUGAAUUGACGGGGGCCCGCACAAGCGGUGGAGCAUGUGGUUUAAUUCGAUGCAACGCGAAGAACCUUACCUGGUCUUGACAUCCAUAAAAUUUUUUAGAGAUAAAAAAGUGCCUUUACCGGAAUUAUGAGACAGGUGCUGCAUGGCUGUCGUCAGCUCGUGUUGUGAAAUGUUGGGUUAAGUCCCGCAACGAGCGCAACCCUUGUUCUCUGUUGCCAUCAGGUUAUGCUGGGAACUCAGAGGAGACUGCCGGUUAUAAGCUGGAGGAAGGUGGGGACGACGUCAAGUCAUCAUGGCCCUUACGACCAGGGCUACACACGUGCUACAAUGGCAUAUACAAAGAGAAGCAAAUCUGCGAAGACAAGCAAAACUCAUAAAGUAUGUCUUAGUUCGGACUGGAGUCUGCAACUCGACUCCACGAAGUCGGAAUCGCUAGUAAUCGUGGGUCAGAAUGCCACGGUGAAUACGUUCCCGGGCCUUGUACACACCGCCCGUC
Molecule: ribosomal RNA, 757 nt
Filed under: uncultured bacterium
Lineage: Bacteria
Description: bacterial SSU rRNA
Rfam family: Bacterial small subunit ribosomal RNA
Source: RNAcentral